UACGUAGGUGGCAAGCGUUGUCCGGAUUUACUGGGCGUAAAGAGCGCGCAGGCGGUCGAAUAAGUCGAAUGUGAAAGCCCCCGGCUUAACUGGGGAGGGUCAUUCGAUACUGCUCGACUUGAAGGCAGGAGAGGGUAGUGGAAUUCCCGGUGUAGUGGUGAAAUGCGUAGAUAUCGGGAGGAACACCAGUGGCGAAGGCGGCUUCCUGGACCAGCACCGACGUUCAGGCACGAAGGCGUGGGGAGCAAACAGG
RNAcentral lists this ribosomal RNA (253 nucleotides) under uncultured bacterium. RNAcentral describes it as "partial 16S ribosomal RNA". It matches the Rfam family "Bacterial small subunit ribosomal RNA", at positions 524 to 776 of the family's 1533-position model. The record is from RNAcentral.